UGGACCAAGGCACAUGCGGUAGCCUCGGCCUCUCUCGCCAUGAGUGUUGAGGGAAGCUUCGGUGAAUCUCGAAUCACUGCCCCAGUGCGAGCCACCUUCUCCCCCAACUGAAACAUCUGCAUCAAACAGGAAAAGCCAAUAAUGCCCCUUUGGUUGUCUUUGUUACCGGCGGAUAUAUCGGUAUCCGCUAUCUCGUCCGCCGUGGCCGCCGCCACGGUCACUGCCGCAACCUUCUUCUUAGUCUGCAAGUCUCACCUCUGCUCUCACAAAGAAAACCUCAUAACACUCCAUCAAGAACAACCGAAGCGCAAUCCACGUGGCAAGAUCCUGUUCGUUUCGCCAAUGGGACUUUCAACUUCGGAAGGCCUCUGCAAUUUGUUAGAGUCGAAAGGCCUCGUUUUGGAGGUCGUAGAUGCUCGGAAUUAUGAUCCCGAAGAUCUAUCCGAGGAGAACCUCAUCCUCCUCGUUCAUUCAACUUCGGAUUUUUGCUACCAACAUCACCGACUGUGGGCCUACAAAGAGGACGACAUCAAAGGAGCAAAGGACUUCGCCAGUUGGCUCGUUCAUAACGCGGAGCGCUUUGGGAUCGGAGCGGCUGUUGUGAAGGCUUGCAAUUUCACUGCAUUUGUGGUGGGCAAAAGGGAUGGUAAGAAUUUGAUGGCUAAGGCCACCAAUCAUUUUAGGGAUUUGGAUCACGUUCAAAACGGUAAUCAUUUUGAAGGGUGGUGGGGAAGUGUUGUUGCGACGGUUUCAGGAGAUACGGUUGCUAAUGGCAUGUGCGGGGAAUCUGAACCUGAGGAUGAUGUUGGUUGUUCUGAUCCAAAAAGCAUAUAUAUGUUGGUGGAAAAUGUGGAUGUAGUAGAUAGUAAAAGAACCUUCAGGCGCAGGAUGUUAACUAUUACCGAGGCCAACUUUAUGAAGAAUGGAAGUGUUGAUCUUGAAGAUGGAGGUCCUGUGACUGCCCAAUGGCCUGUUGGAGACGAUCUAAUAAUCGAUUCCAACUUACCAACUUUUCAAGGAUUUUGUUCCCUUGGUGGCAGCUUGUUCAUUGCUGGUGGUAUCAUGUGUAACAAUGGAUCAAAAUUUGAAUUUGAGCUAGAAUUGGAACAUUUUUUCCCUGCAAAAAUGUGGUGCCUCAAGUAUGACGGUUCAACCUGGAUUUGGAGUUUAUGCGGAAGCAUGUUCUACCACCGGAUGAAUCCCACAGUAGUCCCAUACCAUGGCAAGUUGUGCAUCUUUGGGGGUGACAUUGGAAAUGGAUAUUGGGUUGAAAUCUAUGAUCCAAAAUCAGAUUUAUGGGAAAAAAGGGAAGUGUCCGAUUAUAGGUUCUUAUGGCAGACUCCUAAAUCUUACUUUUUGUGGGAGGACAGAACGGAGCCUCGUAAAAAGACCCUCAUUAUGUUUUAUUUUUCUUCUGGCAAGAAUCAGUGGCUCAACUCAUAUGACUUCGAGGCCAACCUUUGGAAAUUCCUUUACUACAAUUUACCGCCAAUUCGUGAUUGUUGUCCUAGGAAACUAAUUCGUUUGGCAUGUAGUAAUUAUCUCCUCAUUGUUGACUCUGCCCAUAUGUGGUACAUUUAUGACUUUUCUAAGAGGAAUCUAGUGGCAGAUGUGCGCGUCAAUGGUUUGGAAGAGCUGACUAGACGGGUGUCAUAUGUUUUCUGUUGUCACUGCACCAGCGAAGAAAGUCUGAUUUAUGUCUUCAUGGAACUAGAUGAAAAGGUUGUUGAAGAACAUGGUGGUGAUCCUGACCUUGUUCCUUAUGCUAGAGUCAAGCUCCAAAUGAAUGGUAAUUUUUUCGCCAAGGUUGAAUCCAAGGGUAAUCUUAAAGUUGGUCCCUAUAGCAAACUCUAUAUGUUUGCUGUUGGUGACCAAGACACUAAAUUAAAUGGAGGAUUGUAGCUUAGUUUUGACUUUUGUGCAUCAUACUGGCAUGGUGACAUCAUUCAUUUUUGGAGGAGCGGCCAAGGACCCCAUACAUUGAAAAGCCUAAUUGCUAAGUGUAAGAUUUAGACUUUAGAAUACAAUUUAGAUAGGAUGCUUGAUCCAAGUUUAAGACUGAUUUUUUGGGUAUUUAGCUAGAAUUGAGACUAUUCAACAAUUUUUCUAAUUUCACACCCAUUUUAUCAUUAUUAUUUUUUGUUUUUAGUUCGACUGGGACAAUAGUCAAAUUUUGAGACUUCUGAAAUAAUUAGCUAGUAUUCAGAACAUUCAUAGGUGGAACCAGCAUCAGCUUGGUGGCAAUAAUUUUAGAGGUUUGUGUUGGGUAGGGAUUUCAUCCGAAACUUGUUUGUUGUGUGGGAGUGGAAGAGGGAAGAUAUAGGUGGGGUUGGAUGUUAAUAAAUAAGCCUUGUCCUUUGGAUGCUCUUUGGGUAACUUAUGAUGAACACUCCUUUUUCUUUGGAUUAUUGAUGAUGAACAAAUUUCUCUUUAUUUGAUGGAUCCAUUUGUUGUUUCACAAAUCAGUAUUAUUUUGAUCAUUGAUAUAUGUUUGAAUUGCACAAUCUAAAUAUUUAAAGUAUACAAUACAUGUUAGCUACAGUUGAAAAACUUAAUAUUUUUCCCAAUAAAGAAAAGGAAGGUAGUAGGUGGGAGGUGGUUUAGAAACUAAAGAUGAUUGGCAUGCUAAGAGUA
This is an RNA transcript of Arachis duranensis, 2634 nucleotides long. RefSeq lists it as uncharacterized. The record is from RefSeq and is a predicted model, not a curated record. The transcript is spliced from 4 exons. NCBI's taxonomy places the organism in Eukaryota, Viridiplantae, Streptophyta, Magnoliopsida, Fabales, Fabaceae.